This 505-nucleotide ribosomal RNA is filed under the name uncultured bacterium. Its description in RNAcentral is "bacterial SSU rRNA". It matches the Rfam family "Bacterial small subunit ribosomal RNA", at positions 15 to 507 of the family's 1533-position model. The record is from RNAcentral.
GAUCAUGGCUCAGGAUGAACGCUAGCUACAGGCUUAACACAUGCAAGUCGAGGGGAAACGACAUCGAAAGCUUGCUUUUGAUGGGCGUCGACCGGCGCACGGGUGAGUAACGCGUAUCCAACCUGCCCACCACUUGGGGAUAACCUUGCGAAAGUAAGACUAAUACCCAAUGAUAUCUCUAGAAGACAUCUGAAAGAGAUUAAAGAUUUAUCGGUGAUGGAUGGGGAUGCGUCUGAUUAGCUUGUUGGCGGGGUAACGGCCCACCAAGGCAACGAUCAGUAGGGGUUCUGAGAGGAAGGUCCCCCACAUUGGAACUGAGACACGGUCCAAACUCCUACGGGAGGCAGCGGUGAGGAAUAUUGGUCAAUGGGCGUAAGCCUGAACCAGCCAAGUAGCGUGCAGGAUGACGGCCCUAUGGGUUGUAAACUGCUUUUAUGCGGGGAUAAAGUGAGGGAUGUAUCCCUUUUUGCAGGUACCGCAUGAAUAAGGACCGGCUAAUUCCGUG